Molecule: non-coding RNA, 45 nt
Filed under: Schistosoma haematobium
Lineage: Eukaryota; Metazoa; Platyhelminthes; Trematoda; Strigeidida; Schistosomatidae
Source: RNAcentral
AUCCAAUUGACGUGUCGCAAAUAGGACGAAACGUGCGUCCUGGAU